GCGCCCCUAGGUAGGGCCGCAGUGGUGGAGUCCUCGAAGCUCCCUCCUGGUCCCGACCCCCUUUAGUGGCAAGGCAGCGGGUCCUUGGAGUUCCAGCUGAGAAGUCCCGAAACCUUCCGGGCCCUUACGCUGGUGGAAAUGAGACGAGAGAGCACACGUACUCCCCACGUUAGAGCUUCUGCUCUGGGAAACUCCAGGUGACUGCACCUCUCUGCCAGACACUGUUCUCCCCGGGGCAGGUUUACCUGAUGCGUCAGAAAAGGAGCUGUGCCAAAUGGCAAUGGAACCGCCUGGGGUCAGGGCUGGAGUCAGGCGGGUUUAAAACUCCGCGCUGCUGCUGGCCUCAGAACGUAUUUAACGUAACUAGUGGAAACAAUCCUGCUGUGAACUUGUUGCAACAUUGCUUCCCCGUGAGACCAGGAAGUGGGCUAGGCACGGCCCACCGUCCGUCUUGACCCAGGCAAAUGUGGCUCUCUGCAACGUUCUGGCCCUGUGGGGUUAAGCCGACCAAGGACAACAGCACCGGGGAAAUUCAUAACAUAAGGAAAGCUCAAGGACCUGCAAGCUGUUUCAGCUACAACCAAGGAUGUCUUCAAGGCUGUAGCAUAGCAACGGGGCUUUCAGUGCCGCUAGGGAAUUAAUAAGCCUCUGCUUCAUCUACACAAAGUGCGUUAUGAGUACACUCACUAACAGAAUGCUUAUUUAAAAUGUCUCAUUGGUGCAAGCAAAAGUAUUUAAAAUUAAAUACUUUUUCUUUUUUUACUAUUUAUUCCUUUAUGUGUUUUGUGCACGUGAAUAGUACAAGAGGGAAGGCGAAAAUAGUUGCGAACCAUGCGACAUGGGUUUUGACAGCCAAACUCAACUCCUCUACAAGAGUAGUACAGUUCUUAGCUGCGGAAUAACUUCUCCAGUCCCUGAAGUUUGACUUCUAGUUUCUGUGACAGCCUCUCAUCUACAAGAGUGCUUUGCGUUUUAGAGCAUUCUCCACCCGCCCCCGUGGUAGGGUUUGCCCGACAGUAAUAAAUCCACAUGACUUAAA
Meriones unguiculatus (Mongolian gerbil) is the source of this 1039-nucleotide long non-coding RNA. RefSeq lists it as uncharacterized. NCBI's taxonomy places the organism in Eukaryota, Metazoa, Chordata, Mammalia, Rodentia, Muridae. The record is from RefSeq and is a predicted model, not a curated record. The transcript has 2 exons.